RNAcentral lists this ribosomal RNA (253 nucleotides) under uncultured bacterium. RNAcentral describes it as "partial 16S ribosomal RNA". It matches the Rfam family "Bacterial small subunit ribosomal RNA", at positions 524 to 776 of the family's 1533-position model. The record is from RNAcentral.
UACGGGGGGGGCAAGCGUUGUUCGGAAUUACUGGGCGUAAAGGGCUCGUAGGCGGCCAUUUAAGUCAGAGGUGAAAGCCCGGUGCUCAACAUCGGAAUAGCCUUUGAGACUGGGUGGCUAGAAUCCAGGAGAGGUGAGUGGAAUUCCGAGUGUAGAGGUGAAAUGCGUUGAUAUCGGAAGGAACGCCGGUGGCGAAAGCGAACUGCUGGACCUCUACUGACGCUGAGGCGCGAAAGCCAGGGGAGCAAACGGG